CAACAGUAUGACACUUAUUUAGCCAAGACCUUCUGCAUGGACCUUGAGAGAUUCCGGAAGGUGCUUCCUUACUUCUGAGCCACCUGCGUGGGAGGAAGCUGAGGACGUGAAGGUAC
This is a long non-coding RNA of Bos indicus x Bos taurus (hybrid cattle), 116 nucleotides long. The record is from Ensembl. NCBI's taxonomy places the organism in Eukaryota, Metazoa, Chordata, Mammalia, Artiodactyla, Bovidae.